RNAcentral lists this ribosomal RNA (486 nucleotides) under Oenococcus oeni. RNAcentral's name for it is "bacterial SSU rRNA". It matches the Rfam family "Bacterial small subunit ribosomal RNA", at positions 1052 to 1533 of the family's 1533-position model. The record is from RNAcentral. Lineage: Bacteria; Bacillati; Bacillota; Bacilli; Lactobacillales; Lactobacillaceae.
UCGUCAGCUCGUGUCGUGAGAUGUUGGGUUAAGUCCCGCAACGAGCGCAACCCUUGUUAUUAGUUGCCAGCAUUUAGUUGGGCACUCUAAUGAGACUGCCGGUGAUAAACCGGAGGAAGGUGGGGACGACGUCAGAUCAUCAUGCCCCUUAUGACCUGGGCAACACACGUGCUACAAUGGGAAGUACAACGAGUCGCAAACCGGCGACGGUAAGCUAAUCUCUUAAAACUUCUCUCAGUUCGGACUGGAGUCUGCAACUCGACUCCACGAAGGCGGAAUCGCUAGUAAUCGCGAAUCAGCAUGUCGCGGUGAAUACGUUCCCGGGUCUUGUACACACCGCCCGUCAAAUCAUGGGAGUCGGAAGUACCCAAAGUCGCUUGGCUAACUUUUAGAGGCCGGUGCCUAAGGUAAAAUCGAUGACUGGGAUUAAGUCGUAACAAGGUAGCCGUAGGAGAACCUGCGGCUGGAUCACCUCCUUUCUAAGGA